Molecule: unclassified non-coding RNA, 204 nt
Filed under: soil metagenome
Description: partial contains 5.8S ribosomal RNA, internal transcribed spacer 2, and large subunit ribosomal RNA
Source: RNAcentral
AACAAGGCGUACCUGCGGACCUGCGGAAGGAUCAUUACCGAGUUUACAACUCCCAAACCCCUGUGAACAUACCUAUACGUUGCCUCGGCGGAUCAGCCCGCGCCCCGUAAAACGGGACGGCCCGCCCGAGGACCCUAAACUCUGUUUUUAGUGGAACUUCUGAGUAAAACAAACAAAUAAAUCAAAACUUUUAACAACGGAUCU